Rhagoletis zephyria (snowberry fruit fly) is the source of this 110-nucleotide long non-coding RNA. RefSeq lists it as uncharacterized. The record is from RefSeq and is a predicted model, not a curated record. Lineage: Eukaryota; Metazoa; Arthropoda; Insecta; Diptera; Tephritidae.
UAAUACAGACAUAACAAAAUCCCGACCAAAUAAAAUACAGAUAACACAUUAUUCAGACAAGACAAAAUCCCGACAACUCAAAAUCCCGACAAGACACAAUCCAGACAAAA